Molecule: long non-coding RNA, 2491 nt
Organism: Oncorhynchus tshawytscha (Chinook salmon)
Lineage: Eukaryota; Metazoa; Chordata; Actinopteri; Salmoniformes; Salmonidae
Source: Ensembl
CAGGUGGACUUUAUUUAUGUGACUUCUAACUAAUUAAUUGUCACAUGAUCUCAGUGUAUAUAUACACCUCUUCUGAAAGGCCCCAGAGUCUGCAACACCACUAAGCAAGGGGCAUCACCAAGCAAGCAGCACCAUGAAGACCAAGGAGCUCUCCAAACAGAAUAUGGCGCAACAACAAACCUGCCAAGAGAGGGCCGCCCACCAAAACUCAGACCAGGCAAGGAGGGCAUUAAUCAGAGAGGCAACAAAGAGACCAAAGAUAACCCUGAAGGAGCUGCGAAGCUCCACAGCAGAGAUUGGAAUAUCUGUCCAUAGAACCACUUUAAGCCAUACACUCCAGAGCUGGGCUUUACGAAAGAGUGGCCAGAAAAAAAGCCAUUGCUUAAAGAAAAUAAUAAGCAAACACAUUUGAUGUUUGCCAUUAGGCAUGUGGGAGACUCCCCAAACAUAUGGAUGAAGGUACUCUGGUCAGAGGAGACUAAAAUUGAGCUUUUUGGCCAUCAAGGAAAAUGCUAUGUCUGGCGCAAACACCUCUCGUCACCCGAGAACACCCGUCACCACAGUGAAGCAUGGUGGUGGCAGCAUCAUGCUGGGGGGGAUGUUUUUCAUCGACGGGGACUAGGAAAGUGGUCUGAAUUGAAGGAAUGAUGGAUGGUGCUAAAUACAGGGAAAUUAUUGAGGGGAAACCUGUUUUUGUUUCAGUCUUCCAGAGAUAUGAGACUGGGAUGGAGGUUCACCUUCCAGCAGGACAAUGACCCUAAGCAUAAAGCAACACUCGAGUGGUUUAAGGGGAAAUAUUUAAAUGUCUUGGAAUGGCCUAGUCAAAACCCAGACCUCAAUCCAAUUGAGAAUCUGUGGUAAAGUAUUUCUGUACACCCACUGAACCCAUCCAACUUGAAGGAGCUGGAGCAGUUUUGCCUUGAAGAAUGGGCAAAAAUCCCAGUGGCUAGAUGUGCCAAGCUUAUAGAGACAUACCGCAAGAGACUUGUAGCUGCAAACGGUGACUUUACAAAGUAUUGACUUUGGGGGGGUGAAUAGUCAUGCACGCCCAAGUUUUGUCUCUCUUGCUUAUUUCACAAAAAAAUAUUUUGCAUCUUCAAAGUGGUAAGCAUGUUGUGUAAAUCAAAUGAUACAACCCCCCCCAAAAAAAAUCUACUUUUAAUUCCAGGUUGUAAAGGCAACAAAAUAGGAAAAAUGCCAAGGAGGGUGAAUACUUUUGCAAGCCACUGUAAAUCAAGUCCAAUCAAAUCCAGUUUGCUGCGCUAUUGUUGUUAGGUGAGUUUUAUCUCCAAAUUGUGACCUUAUACCUCCUGUUGUAUGCAGCUGAUGUGGGUCUAACAGUGGGUUUACUGGGUUUCUGAAGUAAUGUUUCUCUAACCUAAAGGUUGCUGUAAAAAAUAAGGGGGAAAAAGACGUUAGUAACCCGACACUGGAUUAAUUUUGACAAGUUUCACCAUGGCUCUCUUACAACAAGCUUCGAAUGAACACAACUUUUGAAUCUACUUGAAGAAGACAUAACUCUACUUUUCAUUAAAUGGGAUGAAAAACCGAAGUGUUCGAGGUCAGAGACAAAAUCUGCAUCUCAAAUGGCACCCUAUUCCCUCCAUAGUACAAUGCUUUUGAACUGAGCCCUGUUGGCUCUGGUCAAAGUAGUGCACUAUAUAUGUAAUAGGGUGCCAUUUUGGACGUAGCCAUAGACUGCAGGAUUGUCUGUGGAAGUUGAAUUACUGGAGCACUUUUACGAGGCGAUAAAGGAAAUGUAGCUAGAGUGAGAGAUGUGGUGACGGUGGUAGUCAGAAUGGUGUUUAGCCUAGUCUGCUGCUUCCCCGGGAGACUAAAACAAAAGUGAGGGACCCAUUCGCUGUCUUAUCUCAAUAAGUGGACACACAACAUUUGGUUCUUACAAAGAAAGACCAGCGAGAAUAACACUUGGUUGUUCAUUGUGCUUUGUAUAAAUUAGGGGUUUAGAGACUCUUUAGUGCUCUCAAGAUGAAAAAAAUAUUGUGUUGAGCGUGAAUAGUGUUCAGUGUGCCUUUUUUAAAACUUUGUUUUGAAUUAAGAUAAGAAUAUUUGAGCUUUUCUGGUUUUAAUUCCGUUCUGUUUUUAUUUUGGGGUAUCCUUUCUGGAAUUAAGUAGUCCCAGGUUUAACAAAGGUACAAAACCAAAGUCCCCUCAGAAGUUUCCCUGUACAACCCCACCAUGUGGAGUUAGGAGCUUCUUGGUUUUAGCUUCUUGACAGUGCUUUUUUUGGUCAAUCAGUAUAUGCCAUUUAAAGUAUUAUAGCAAUAUUUAAGUAAUAGUUGAAAAUAUACAGAAAAUAAUGAAGAUUAGUAGUGGAUGUGUUUCAGUAUCAUAAUUGCACCUCCUGCUGACAAACACCUGUUAGAAAAUCCAAUUUUAUAUUUACCUUCAUUGAUGUUGACCACACAUAAGCUAACUUGCUGUUGAGAUUAAAAAGGUUUAUCGAACUUGUGUGAGUAUCUUGAUCUAC